RNAcentral lists this ribosomal RNA (443 nucleotides) under uncultured bacterium. Its description in RNAcentral is "bacterial SSU rRNA". It matches the Rfam family "Bacterial small subunit ribosomal RNA", at positions 335 to 795 of the family's 1533-position model. The record is from RNAcentral.
ACUCCUACGGGAGGCAGCAGUGGGGAAUCUUGCGCAAUGGGCGAAAGCCUGACGCAGCAACGCCGCGUGCGGGAAGAAGGCCUUUGGGUUGUAAACCGCUUUCAGCAGGGACGAAACUGACGGUACCUGCAGAAGAAGGUCCGGCUAACUACGUGCCAGCAGCCGCGGUAAUACGUAGGGGCCAAGCGUUGUCCGGAUUUAUUGGGCGUAAAGAGCUCGUAGGCGGUUCUGUAAGUCGAGUGUGAAAAAUCUGGGCUCAACCCAGUGGAGCACUCGAUACUGCAGUGACUGGAGUCCGGUAGGGGAGUGUGGAAUUCCUGGUGUAGCGGUGAAAUGCGCAGAUAUCAGGAGGAACACCAACAGCGAAGGCAGCACUCUGGGCCGGUACUGACGCUGAGGAGCGAAAGCGUGGGGAGCGAACAGGAUUAGAUACCCUGGUAGUC